Molecule: ribosomal RNA, 651 nt
Filed under: uncultured bacterium
Lineage: Bacteria
Description: bacterial SSU rRNA
Rfam family: Bacterial small subunit ribosomal RNA
Source: RNAcentral
UCGACGGGAUUAGUAGACAGAAACCUCGGUGGAAGAUUACUAAUGAGAGUGGCGAACGGGUGAGUAACGCGUGAGCAACCUGCCUAUGACAGUGGGAUAGCCUCGGGAAACCGGGAUUAAUACCACAUAAAAUCGUAGAAACACAUGUUUUAACGGUAAAAGAUUUAUCGGUCAUAGAUGGGCUCGCGUCUGAUUAGCUAGUUGGUGAGAUAACAGCCCACCAAGGCGACGAUCAGUAGCCGGUCUGAGAGGAUGAACGGCCACAUUGGAACUGAGACACGGUCCAAACUCCUACGGGAGGCAGCAGUGGGGAAUAUUGCACAAUGGGGGAAACCCUGAUGCAGCGACGCCGCGUGAACGAAGAAGAUAUUCGUAUCGUAAAGUUCUGUCCUAUGGGAAGAUAAUGACAGUACCAUAGAAGAAAGCUCCGGCUAAAUACGUGCCAGCAGCCGCGGCAAUACGUAUGGAGCGAGCGUUGUCCGGAAUUAUUGGGCGUAAAGGGUACGCAGGCGGUUUAAUAAGUCGAAUGUUAAAGAUCGGGGCUCAACCCCGUAAAGCAUUGGAAACUGAUAAACUUGAGUAGUGGAGAGGAAAGUGGAAUUCCUAGUGUAGUGGUGAAAUACGUAGAUAUUAGGAGGAAUACCAGUAGCG